This 306-nucleotide long non-coding RNA is filed under the name Physcomitrium patens. Its description in RNAcentral is "long non-coding RNA (PPAT_LNC005614)". Lineage: Eukaryota; Viridiplantae; Streptophyta; Bryopsida; Funariales; Funariaceae. The record is from RNAcentral.
UUAGAAUGAUUGUAAACAUAUCUCAAAUAUAUUUUAAUUCAAUCUUAAUUUAAUCAUAGUUAAAAUCUUACAUCAUUCAAACUUUAGGCCAAAAACUAAUUAAAUCUUAAAUCCUAAAUAAAUUCAAAUAAAAUCCUAAAUCCUAAAUCAAAUCCUGAUCAAAUCCUAACCAAACCUUAAAUCCUAAACCAAACCCUAAAUUCUAAACCAAAUUCUAAAUCCUAAAUCAAAUCCUAACCAAAUCCUAACUCUAAAUCAAAUCCUAACCAAAUCCUAACCCUAAAUCAAAUCCUAACCAAACCCUAA